Long non-coding RNA from Varroa destructor (honeybee mite), 836 nucleotides. The record is from RefSeq and is a predicted model, not a curated record. NCBI's taxonomy places the organism in Eukaryota, Metazoa, Arthropoda, Arachnida, Mesostigmata, Varroidae.
UUGGCUAAGGAUUGUUCCUUCCUACUAAUCGAAAGUUCCCUUUGAUUGUUGAAAGAUUUAUGUAUGCCCCAGCGGGAGAAAACAUUGACCCUGACUGAAGUUUCUAACGUAUAAUAUUUCAGCACCGUCAUGCUAAGCUCGAGCAACGGAAGCGUCUUACUGAGACCCCAGUUAAUCCGACCCCUAAACUUUACUAUUACCCUGUGGCGCUGUCGCGUAAUCUCGUUAUCUAUUUCACCGUUUUAAUACGAGAUAAAUUGGAGAAAACCCCCCGGGAAAAUUGAGCAAGAUCUACUACGGUUAAAUUCUUGACAUGGCUAAGCCUUUGAUGCUAUACCCAGAAAUAGGUUUUUCGUCUUUGGUAACGUCUCUUGGUCUAGAACUGGAUCCGGUGGAGCGAUCUGAUCUCCUUGAGGGUCAAGAUUUAUAUAGAGUUACUCUACAAGAUUGUCGGCAAGCUUAAUCGGAAGACCUUGCUUUAAGUUAGUAUUCCAAAAGCCGGUAUGAAUAUAGUAAGCUCAAGGCACCGACCAAUUGCUGAUGUCCAAAAUUUACGAAAUCAACUCAGCUCAUCUCUUCCGCGUACGAUGAGGAUUCUAAACAGGGGCAGACUUUUUAGUUUCGUCGCGCUUCUUGCUAUAUGGAUAUACCGGCCCAUUUUUGAGGCACCAACCCGGGACCAAACGAUAUAGUCUCAACAAACGUCCGCCUCACAGAGCCUGCUAAGAUCUUUCGAGCUGUUCGUAAUACUUGACCACUAGCAAACGAAAAGCAUUAGAAAGUAAGAGAGCGACAAACAAUACAGAGAUUGCUUAGUUAACUACCUAAUAAAUACG